Molecule: ribosomal RNA, 328 nt
Filed under: Pasteurella multocida
Lineage: Bacteria; Pseudomonadati; Pseudomonadota; Gammaproteobacteria; Pasteurellales; Pasteurellaceae
Description: partial 23S ribosomal RNA
Rfam family: Bacterial large subunit ribosomal RNA
Source: RNAcentral
CUAAACCGUACUGAAAACCGACACAGGUGGUCAGGUAGAGAAUACUCAGGCGCUUGAGAGAACUCGGGUGAAGGAACUAGGCAAAAUAGCACCGUAACUUCGGGAGAAGGUGCGCUUACAGUAAUUGUAGUCCCUUGCGGAUGAAGGUGAAGUAAGUCGAAGAUACCAGCUGGCUGCAACUGUUUAUUAAAAACACAGCACUCUGCAAACACGAAAGUGGACGUAUAGGGUGUGAUGCCUGCCCGGUGCUGGAAGGUUAAUUGAUGGUGUUAUCGAAAGAGAAGCUCCUGACCGAAGCCCCAGUAAACGGCGGCCGUAACUAUAACGG